This 963-nucleotide ribosomal RNA is filed under the name Triticum aestivum (bread wheat). Its description in RNAcentral is "partial small subunit ribosomal RNA". The record is from RNAcentral. Lineage: Eukaryota; Viridiplantae; Streptophyta; Magnoliopsida; Poales; Poaceae.
AUGGCUUUCCUUGUGGAGAGGUGCGGGGAGAUGGUGGUGUCCAUGGAGAUGGGCUCGGGGGCGGCGGGGGCGCACGGUGCCGGCGGCGUUGCUGGGAAGCCGGUGCCGGCGCCGUUCCUGACCAAGACGUACCAGCUGGUGGACGACCCCUGCACCGACCACAUCGUGUCGUGGGGGGAGGACGACGCCACCUUCGUCGUCUGGAGGCCGCCCGAGUUCGCCCGGGACCUCCUCCCCAACUACUUCAAGCACAACAACUUCUCCAGCUUCGUCAGGCAGCUCAACACCUAUGGAUUCAGGAAGAUAGUGGCCGACAGAUGGGAGUUCGCCAAUGAGUUCUUCAGGAAGGGAGCAAAGCACCUCCUCGCUGAGAUCCACCGGAGGAAGUCGUCGCAGCCGCCUCCGCCGUCAAUGGUGCCGCACCAGGCCGCGUACCACCACCACUACCACCUCGGCAACACCUUCUCGCCACCGCCGCCUCCACCGCCGGCGGCUCAUCAUCACCAUCACCCGGUGUACCAGCACUUCCAAGAAGAGCCAGCGGCCGCGGCCACGUCGCACGGCGGAGGCAACGGCGGCGGCGACUUCCUGGCGGCGCUGUCGGAGGACAACCGCCAGCUGCGGCGGCGCAACUCGCUGCUGCUGUCGGAGCUGGCGCACAUGAAGAAGCUCUACAACGACAUCAUCUACUUCCUGCAGAACCACGUGGCGCCCGUCACGAGCCCCUCGUCGGCCGCGUUGCAGCGGCACCCGCCGCUCCCCGGCGCCGGCGCGGGGGUCGCCGCGUCCAACUCGUGCAGGCUGCUGGAGCUGGACAUGGACGUGGACCGGGACUCGCCGGCGGCUGAGGAGGACGACACGGUGAAGCUGUUCGGCGUGGCGCUGCACCACGGCAAGAAGAAGCGGGCGCACCGCGAGGAGCGCGGUGACGUCGUCGCCCAUGAUCUCGGAAGCGAGGUCUAG